This 97-nucleotide Y RNA is filed under the name Microcebus murinus (gray mouse lemur). RNAcentral's name for it is "Y RNA (ENSMICG00000044140.1)". It matches the Rfam family "Y RNA". From Rfam's summary of the family: Y RNAs are components of the Ro ribonucleoprotein particle (Ro RNP), in association with Ro60 and La proteins. The Y RNAs and Ro60 and La proteins are well conserved, but the function of the Ro RNP is not known. The record is from RNAcentral. Lineage: Eukaryota; Metazoa; Chordata; Mammalia; Primates; Cheirogaleidae.
GGCUGGUCUGAUGGUAAUGGGUUAUCAGAAUUUAUUAACAUUAGUGUCACUAAAAGUUGGUAUUCAACCCACCACUGCUAAAUUUGACUGGCUAAAA